GCAUAUCAAUAAGCGGAGGAAAAGAAACCAACAGGGAUUGCCCCAGUAACGGCGAAGUGAAGCGGCAACAGCUCAAAUUUGAAAUCUGGCCUCGUGCCCGAGUUGUAAUUUGUAGAGGAUGCUUUUGGCGACGCGCCUUCCGAGUUCCCUGGAACGGGACGCCAUAGAGGGUGAGAGCCCCGUCCGGUCGUGCGCCUAGCCUCUGUAAAGCUCCUUCGACGAGUCGAGUAGUUUGGGAAUGCUGCUCUAAAUGGGAGGUAUACGUCUUCUAAAGCUAAAUACCGGCCAGAGACCGAUAGCGCACAAGUAGAGUGAUCGAAAGAUGAAAAGCACUUUGAAAAGAGGGUUAAAUAGUACGUGAAAUUGCUGAAAGGGAAGCGCUUAUGACCAGACUUGGGCGCGGCGGAUCAUCCGGCGUUCUCGCCGGUGCACUCCACCGCCCCAGGCCAGCAUCAGUUCGCGCCGGGGGACAAAGGCUUCGGGAAUGUGGCUCCCUCGGGAGUGUUAUAGCCCGCUGCGUAAUACCCUGGCGCGGACUGAGGUCCGCGCUCUGCAAGGAUGCUGGCGUAAUGGUCAUCAGUGACCCGUCUUGAAACACGGACCAAGGAGUCGUCUUCGUAUGCGAGUGUUCGGGUGUCAAACCCCUACGCGGAAUGAAAGUGAACGUAGGAGAGAGCUUCGGCGCAUCUCCGACCGAUCCUGAUGUUCUCGGAUGGAUUUGAGUAAGAGCAUACGGGGCCGGACCCGAAAGAAGGUGAACUAUGCCUGUGUAGGGUGAAGCCAGAGGAAACUCUGGUGGAGGCUCGCAGCGGUUCUGACGUGCAAAUCGAUCGUCAAACAUGGGCAUGGGGGCGAAAGACUAAUCGAACCUUCUAGUAGCUGGUUUCCGCCGA
RNAcentral lists this ribosomal RNA (893 nucleotides) under Emericellopsis terricola. RNAcentral describes it as "LSU rRNA". It matches the Rfam family "Eukaryotic large subunit ribosomal RNA", at positions 38 to 964 of the family's 3401-position model. The record is from RNAcentral. Lineage: Eukaryota; Fungi; Ascomycota; Sordariomycetes; Hypocreales; Bionectriaceae.